GCUUAACGCGAAGAACCUUACCUGGGCUUGACAUGUUAGUCGUAGACUUGUGAAAGCUUGUCGUCACUUCGGGUGGACUAUCACAGGUGCUGCAUGGCUGUCGUCAGCUCGUGUCGUGAGAUGUUGGGUUAAGUCCUGUAACGAGCGCAACCCCUAUGAACUGUUGCCAGCGGGUAAUGCCGGGGACUCUGUUCAGACUGCCCAGAUUAACUGGGAGGAAGGAGGGGAUGACGUCAAGUCAGUAUGGCCCUUACGCCCAGGGCUGCACACGUGCUACAAUGUCCAGUACAAUGUGAACCGAUACCGCGAGGUGGAGGAAAUCCUCAAAACUGGGCUCAGUUCGGAUUGCAGGCUGCAACUCGCCUGCAUGAAGUUGGAAUCGCCAGUAAUGGUGCAUCAGCUACGGCACCGUGAAUACGUUCCCGGGUCUUGUACACACCG
Molecule: ribosomal RNA, 441 nt
Filed under: uncultured bacterium
Lineage: Bacteria
Description: bacterial SSU rRNA
Rfam family: Bacterial small subunit ribosomal RNA
Source: RNAcentral